CCCCAUUGCUCGGGGUCUCCCAGCCGCCCGCGGGGCCUGGGCUUCCAUCCGCACCCUGGCAUUGGGCAGCUUCCCUGGCAAGGCGCCCCCGGACAGCUGGCAGCCCCCAGGCCUCCCCCGUGCCAGGAGAACGUGUGUGUCGUGCGAGUGCAGGUUUCCAAAUAAUCAAAACUUUUACCUCAAGGUAUGGUGGGAGAAUAUGCUUUGGGGGAGGGGAGGGGUGGGCAAGCGAUGUUUUUGUAAGAUUCAUCCAUUUUUUAGAAGCUUUUUUUCCCUCCAGCCUGCCCUGGAGGCCUGCACUUUGCCCACGACGCACCCGGAAUCGAGUUACCCUUUUUCAUGUACAUAGAAAUACUUUAUUUAUUAACUCCAGUGGUCACUUAAAAAAAAAAAAAAAAGUAUCCUACGUUUUGAAGAGCAGCAGACAAAAUGUGCUAUGGACCUUUGAUAGUUUCCUGUUCUGGUGCUUAUUCCUUGUAUGUUGAUUCAGUUUUGGGGGAAUGGGAUUGUUUGGGAUUCUUUGGGUUUCUUUUUGUAUAGACUUUGAACUUACAGGUAUUGGUAACUUCCAGAUAAAGCAUGUUUUAUUUGUAUAUUCCUAGUCUUCUCCCAUGUCCGUCUUUUUCUCUGUAUCUUGUUUUAAAGUAGAACAGUUGGGAAAAAAAAAAUAAAGCAACAAAGACCCA
Non-coding RNA from Pseudonaja textilis, 686 nucleotides. The record is from RefSeq and is a predicted model, not a curated record. Lineage: Eukaryota; Metazoa; Chordata; Lepidosauria; Squamata; Elapidae.